AUUGAACGCUGGCGGCAUGCUUUACACAUGCAAGUCGAACGGUAACAGGUUAAGCUGACGAGUGGCGAACGGGUGAGUAAUGCAUCGGAACGUGCCCGAUCGUGGGGGAUAACGCAGCGAAAGCUGCGCUAAUACCGCAUACGAACUGAGGAUGAAAGCGGGGGACCGUAAGGCCUCGCGCGAUCGGAGCGGCCGAUGUCAGAUUAGGUAGUUGGUGGGGUACAGGCUCACCAAGCCGUCGAUCUGCAGAUGGUCUGAGAGGACGACCAGCCACACUCGGACUGAGUCACGGCCCAGACUCCUACGGGAGGCAGCAGUGGGUAAUUGUGGACAAUGGGCGAAAGCUUGAUCCAGCAAUGCCGCGUGCAGGAAGAAGGCGUUCGGGUUGUAAACUGCUUUUGUACGGAGCGAAAAGGCUCUCUCUAAUACAGGGGGCUCAUGACGGUACCGUAAGAAUAAGCACCGGCUAACUACGUGCCAGCCGCCGCUGUAA
Molecule: ribosomal RNA, 493 nt
Filed under: uncultured bacterium
Lineage: Bacteria
Description: partial 16S ribosomal RNA
Rfam family: Bacterial small subunit ribosomal RNA
Source: RNAcentral